Non-coding RNA from Triticum aestivum (bread wheat), 125 nucleotides. The record is from Rfam. Lineage: Eukaryota; Viridiplantae; Streptophyta; Magnoliopsida; Poales; Poaceae.
AAUAUACUCCCUCCGUCCUAAAUUACUUGUCACUGAAAUAGAUAAAAUUGAGUAUAUCUAGAACUAAAAUACAUCUAGAUACAGCAAUUUCUUUGACAAGUAUUUCAGGACGUAGGGAGUAUGUU